CACGGGGUUGCGAGCGUUGUCCGGAAUUACUAGGCGUAAAGGGCAGGCAGGCGGAUCCAUAAGUUUAUCGUUUAAGGCGUCGGCUUAACCGGCGUAGGGCGGUAGAUACUGUGGAUCUGGAAUGCGGUUGGGGAAGACAGAAUUCCUGGUGUAGCGGUGGAAUGCGCAGAGAUCAGGAGGAAUACCGAAGGCGAAGGCAGUCUUCCAAGCCGUUACUGACGCUCAACUGCGAAGGUGUGGGUAUCAAAACAGGAUUAGAUACCCGGGUAGUCCCUGAG
RNAcentral lists this ribosomal RNA (278 nucleotides) under uncultured prokaryote. Its description in RNAcentral is "partial 16S ribosomal RNA". It matches the Rfam family "Bacterial small subunit ribosomal RNA", at positions 524 to 801 of the family's 1533-position model. The record is from RNAcentral.